AACGCACGAGACCUGCGGACCUGCGGAAGGAUCAUUAAAGGUUUAGGGUACCUAGUGCCCAAACUUCAACCCUAUGUUUUGUUAACCUGUUUCUUUGCCGGUUCCGGCCGGCAGAAGACUUCUCAAACUCCCUAUAAAUCUGCUCUGAAUAUAUAAAAAAAAUCGUUAAAACUUUUAACAAUGGAUCUCU
Molecule: unclassified non-coding RNA, 190 nt
Filed under: soil metagenome
Description: partial contains 5.8S ribosomal RNA, internal transcribed spacer 2, and large subunit ribosomal RNA
Source: RNAcentral